AAAUAUCUUGAUGCGGGACUCUUCCGAGGCCUCGCAAUCAGGAUGCGUUUACUUUAAAGCAGUAAACUGAACGCAAUUGGAGGGCAAGUCUGGUGCCAGCAGCCGCGGUAAUUCCAGCUCCAAUAGCGUAUAUUUAAGUUGCUGCGGUUAAAAGCUCGUAGUUGGACUUUAUACUCAGGCAGCCAGUCCUCUUUCGAUAUUUUCUUUCCUUCUAUAACGAGGAGGGUGGGUAAUGCCAGUGCGGCGCUGAUUGCGUUCAUCAACUCUUAUGUAGUUGCAAAACGAACGGAGGAACAAAAUCUGUCGUUUUUCGCGCUUGGUUAUGCCACCUUUCCCCCCGUUUGGUUAGAUAUUUUCGUUUGAGGUUCUUACUGCGUCUGUGACUGAGUGUAUAUGAGACCGUCGAUUUAUACUUUUUCGAAAUAAUCUAUAAUCGUUGCGUGGUGCAAUUAAGUUUGUGUCCGCGUAGUCACGGUACAAGAUACAUUCGUUCACAUAAAAGUUGUCGACUCUAUCACUUUGAAAAAAUUAGAGUGCUCAAAGCAGGCCUCAUUGCAUAAUUGCCUGAAUGGUAGUGCAUGGAAUGAUGGAAGAUGAUCUCUACCUCGUUAAGUUUAGAAGCAUAACUUUUUUGUUUUUAUCUUUGCACCAGGUUUUGACAGGUACGGAUAAAGAUUCGAGGUUUGAGAUAAUGAUUAAAGGGAACUGCCGGGGGCGUUUGUAUUACGGCGCUAGAGGUGAAAUUCUUGGACCGUCGUAAGACAAACUACUGCGAAAGCAUUCGCCAAGAAUGUUUUCAUUAAUCAAGAACGAAAGUUAGAGUUUAGAAGGAGAUCAGAUACCUCCCUAUUUCUAACCGUAAACUAUGCUAACCGGUUGUCCGUCGGAAGUCAUUUCCGAGACUGGACGAGCGACCCCAGGGAAACCAGAGUUUCUGAGUUCCGGGGGAAGUAUGGU
This 957-nucleotide ribosomal RNA is filed under the name Pulcherella pulcher. RNAcentral describes it as "partial small subunit ribosomal RNA". It matches the Rfam family "Eukaryotic small subunit ribosomal RNA", at positions 473 to 1129 of the family's 1831-position model. Lineage: Eukaryota; Metazoa; Arthropoda; Malacostraca; Tanaidacea; Typhlotanaidae. The record is from RNAcentral.